This 899-nucleotide ribosomal RNA is filed under the name Lingulaulax polyedra. RNAcentral's name for it is "Lingulodinium polyedra partial Eukaryotic large subunit ribosomal RNA". It matches the Rfam family "Eukaryotic large subunit ribosomal RNA", at positions 1 to 910 of the family's 3401-position model. The record is from RNAcentral. Lineage: Eukaryota; Dinophyceae; Gonyaulacales; Lingulodiniaceae.
AUGAAGUUAGGUUAGGGAACCCGCCGAAUUUAAGCAUAUAAAUAAGCGGAGGAUUUGAAACUAAAAAGGAAUCCCUCAGUAAUGGCGAAUGACCAGGGAUAUGCUCGGGCUGGGAAUUGGGGCGUCGUGCCUCGAAUUGUAGUCUGGGGGUGCUUUGCCAACGGAGGCGCAAAUGAAAGUCUUUUGGAAAAUGGAUCACAGUGGGUGAGAAUCCCGUCUGUCAUUUGCAGCCCUCUGUGUAUGGCAUGGCAUCGUAGAGUCACGCUCCUCGGGAUUGGAGUGCAAAGUGGGUGGUAGAUGUCAUCUUAGGCUAAUUACAAGUUCGAGACCGAUAGUGGACAAGUACCAUGAGGGAAAGGCGAAAAGGACUUUGAAAAGAGAGUUACAUGUACAUGAAAUUGCUGGAGGGGAAGCGAAUGGAACUGUCAGCCUUGGCGAGAUUGUAGCACACACUUGCAAUCACUCGGCACGUCGGCGUAAGCACCGUGGCGAGCUGUAAGUUCAUGUGUGUUGAGCGUUUCGCCUUGCAUUUCUUGCGUGGCAUAAAUGUGAGGAUCCCGCCGAAAGCAUUGAAAGCCGCCUUCGGGUGGUGUGUGUGUUUUCGAGCACACUCACUGAUGUGCCACUCGAGCGCGAUACAGCUUCCUUCGACCCGUCUUGGAACACGGACCAAGGAGUCUAACACAUGUGCGAGCGUUUGGGCUUACGCCUACUUGCGGAUCGAAAGUGACUGCUGGGACCGCUUGCACCAGCAACCGACCAACUAAUUGUAGGAGGUUUGAGUAUGAGCACAAUUGUUAGGACCCGAAAGAUGGUGAACUAUGCCUGUGAAGAGCAAAAUCAGGGGAAACUCUGAUGAAGGCUUGUAGCGAUACUGACGUGCAAAUCGUUCGUCAAAC